GCAAAUUUUGCCAUGAGGGUCAAAGAGGAAGCAUGCAGGCCACAGCUGUCUUAAAUAAAGGACCUAACCAAUGCGCCAAACUGGGACUCAGCUGGAACCUGCUCCACACCUAGCAGAAUCGACAAUUCCGCAAUGUCUCUGAGACUGGCAAAUGGAAGUCGAUGUGUUGGUCGGGUGGAAAUCUACUAUGAUGGAGCAUGGGGAACAGUAUGUGAUGACCUUUGGGAUCUCACUGAUGCAGAAGUGGUAUGCCGCCAAAUAGGUUGUGGAAAACCCAUCUCUUUUCACGUAAAUGCCUAUUUUGGGCCAGGAAGAGGACCUAUUUUUUUGGAUGAUACCAACUGUCUAGGA
Molecule: long non-coding RNA, 351 nt
Organism: Hyla sarda
Lineage: Eukaryota; Metazoa; Chordata; Amphibia; Anura; Hylidae
Exons: 3
Source: RefSeq, a predicted model, not a curated record